UGAUGCGACUAUACCAGCAAGUACUAAUGCAUCGGAUCUCGUUAAAACUCUGAAAUUAAAUGUGUUUGGAUAAAAGUAGUACUAGGAUAGGUGAUUUUCUAGAAAAUACUUGUGUUGCAUCUG
Molecule: ribosomal RNA, 123 nt
Filed under: Salix viminalis (osier)
Lineage: Eukaryota; Viridiplantae; Streptophyta; Magnoliopsida; Malpighiales; Salicaceae
Source: RNAcentral